RNAcentral lists this ribosomal RNA (105 nucleotides) under uncultured bacterium. RNAcentral's name for it is "partial 16S ribosomal RNA". It matches the Rfam family "Bacterial small subunit ribosomal RNA", at positions 1379 to 1482 of the family's 1533-position model. The record is from RNAcentral.
CCUUGUACACACCGCCCGUCAAGUCAUGGGAGCGGGGAGUACCCGAAGUCCGCUUAGCUAACCGCAAGGAUGCGGCGGCCGACGGUAAGCUCCGUGACUGGGACU